AGCAGCCGCGGUAAUUCCAGCUCCAAUAGCGUAUAUUAAAGUUGUUGCAGUUAAAAAGCUCGUAGUUGAAUUUCGGGAUCAGAGUGUCGGUCGUGCCUCGGUACGCACUGGUAUUAUUGGUUCCUACCUUCUGAAGAACCGCGAUGUCAUUAAUUUGGUGUCGUGGGGAAUCAGGACUGUUACUUUGAAAAAAUUAGAGUGUUUAAAGCAGGCUUACGCUUGAAUACAUUAGCAUGGAAUAAUGAAAUAGGACGUUUGAUUCUAUUUUGUUGGUUUCUAGGAUUGACGUAAUGAUUAAUAGGGAUAGUUGGGGGCAUUAGUAUUCAAUUGUCAGAGGUGAAAUUCUUGGAUUUAUUGAAGACUAACUACUGCGAAAGCAUUUGCCAAGGAUGUUUUCAUUAAUCAAGAACGAAAGUUAGGGGAUCGAAGACGAUCAGAUACCGUCGUAGU
RNAcentral lists this ribosomal RNA (450 nucleotides) under uncultured Glomeromycotina. Its description in RNAcentral is "SSU rRNA". It matches the Rfam family "Eukaryotic small subunit ribosomal RNA", at positions 569 to 1024 of the family's 1831-position model. The record is from RNAcentral. Lineage: Eukaryota; Fungi; Glomeromycota.